Molecule: ribosomal RNA, 254 nt
Filed under: uncultured bacterium
Lineage: Bacteria
Description: partial 16S ribosomal RNA
Rfam family: Bacterial small subunit ribosomal RNA
Source: RNAcentral
UACGGGGGGGGCAAGCGUUGUUCGGAAUUACUGGGCGUAAAGGGCGCGUAGGCGGCUUUUCAAGUCGGGCGUGAAAGCUCCGGGCUUAACCCGGAAAUGUCGCUCGAUACUGUUGAGCUAGAGUGUGGAAGAGGCUACUGGAAUUCCGUGUGUAGCGGUGAAAUGACGUAGAUAUACGGAGGAACACCAGCGGCGAAGGCGGGUAGCUGGGCCGACACUGACGCUGAGGCGCGAAAGCCAGGGGAGCGAACGGG